CGCUAUCACUCCUACGGGGAGCAGCAGUAGGGAAUCUUCACAAUGGGCGCAAGCCUGAUGGAGCAACACCGCGUGAGUGAAGAAGGGUUUCGGCUCGUAAAGCUCUGUUGUUAAAGAAGAACACGUAUGAGAGUAACUGUUCAUACGUUGACGGUAUUUAACCAGAAAGUCACGGCUAACUACGUGCCAGCAGCCGCGGUAAUACGUAGGUGGCAAGCGUUAUCCGGAUUUAUUGGGCGUAAAGAGAGUGCAGGCGGUUUUCUAAGUCUGAUGUGAAAGCCUUCGGCUUAACCGGAGAAGUGCAUCGGAAACUGGAUAACUUGAGUGCAGAAGAGGGUAGUGGAACUCCAUGUGUAGCGGUGGAAUGCGUAGAUAUAUGGAAGAACACCAGUGGCGAAGGCGGCUACCUGGUCUGCAACUGACGCUGAGACUCGAAAGCAUGGGUAGCGAACAGGAUUAGAUACCCUGGUAG
RNAcentral lists this ribosomal RNA (472 nucleotides) under uncultured bacterium. RNAcentral describes it as "bacterial SSU rRNA". It matches the Rfam family "Bacterial small subunit ribosomal RNA", at positions 328 to 793 of the family's 1533-position model. The record is from RNAcentral.